AUCCAGAUGAUGAGUCCUGAAAAGAACGAAACGCGCGUUCUGGAU
Molecule: non-coding RNA, 45 nt
Filed under: Schistosoma margrebowiei
Lineage: Eukaryota; Metazoa; Platyhelminthes; Trematoda; Strigeidida; Schistosomatidae
Source: RNAcentral